CGGGUGAGUAAUGCAUAGGAAUCUACCCAGUAGCGGGGGACAACCUGGUGAAAACCAGGCUAAUACCGCAUACGCCCUACGGGGGAAAGCAGGGGAUCUUCGGACCUUGCACUAUUGGAUGAGCCUAUGUCAGAUUAGCUAGUUGGUAGGGUAAUGGCCUACCAAGGCGACGAUCUGUAGCUGGUUUGAGAGGAUGAUCAGCCACACUGGGACUGAGACACGGCCCAG
RNAcentral lists this ribosomal RNA (228 nucleotides) under uncultured bacterium. RNAcentral describes it as "partial 16S ribosomal RNA". It matches the Rfam family "Bacterial small subunit ribosomal RNA", at positions 103 to 334 of the family's 1533-position model. The record is from RNAcentral.